UACGAAGGGGGCUAGCGUUGUUCGGAUUUACUGGGCGUAAAGGGCGCGUAGGCGGCCUCUGCAAGUCGACUGUGAAAUCUCCGGGCUUAACCCGGAAAGGUCAGCCGAUACUGCAGGGCUAGAGUGCAGAAGGGGCAACUGGAAUUCUCGGUGUAGCGGUGAAAUGCGUAGAUAUCGAGAGGAACACCUGCGGCGAAGGCGGGUUGCUGGGCUGACACUGACGCUGAAGUGCGAAAGCUAGGGGAGCGAACGGG
Molecule: ribosomal RNA, 254 nt
Filed under: uncultured bacterium
Lineage: Bacteria
Description: partial 16S ribosomal RNA
Rfam family: Bacterial small subunit ribosomal RNA
Source: RNAcentral